Podarcis lilfordi (Lilford's wall lizard) is the source of this 73-nucleotide non-coding RNA. The record is from the annotation of a GenBank genome assembly. Lineage: Eukaryota; Metazoa; Chordata; Lepidosauria; Squamata; Lacertidae.
GCAUAGCUUAGUAGGUUAUAGUGUGGUGCUGAUAAUGCCAAGGUUGCAGGUUCGAAUCCCCGGGACAGCUGCA